GGAAGGCAGCAGUGGGGAAUAUUGCACAAUGGGCGAAAGCCUGAUGCAGCUAUGCCGCGUGUAUGAAGAAGGCCUUAGGGUUGUAAAGUACUUUCAUCGGGGAGGAAAAAACAAAACUAAUAAUUUUAUUUCUUGACGUUACCCGAAAAAGAAGCACCGGCUAACUCCGUGCCAGCAGCCGCGGUAAUACGGAGGGUGCUAGCGUUAAUCAGAAUUACUGGGCGUAAAGAGCACGUAGGUGGUUUUUUUAAGUCAGAUGUGAAAUCCCUGGGCUUAACCUAGGAACUGCAUUUUGAAACUGAAAUACUAGAGUAUCGUAGAGGGAGGUAGAAUUCUAGGUGUAGCGGUGAAAUGCGUAGAUAUCUGGAGGAAUACCUGUGGCGAAAGCGGCCUCCUAAACGAAUACUGACACUGAGGGUGCGAAAGCGUGGGGAGCAAACAGGGAUUAGAUACC
This 454-nucleotide ribosomal RNA is filed under the name uncultured bacterium. RNAcentral's name for it is "bacterial SSU rRNA". It matches the Rfam family "Bacterial small subunit ribosomal RNA", at positions 343 to 786 of the family's 1533-position model. The record is from RNAcentral.